This 252-nucleotide ribosomal RNA is filed under the name uncultured bacterium. RNAcentral describes it as "partial 16S ribosomal RNA". It matches the Rfam family "Bacterial small subunit ribosomal RNA", at positions 524 to 776 of the family's 1533-position model. The record is from RNAcentral.
UACAUAGGUGGCAAGCGAUAUCCGGAUUUAUUGGGCGUAAAGAGUGCACAGGCGGUUUAUUAAGUCUGUCUUUAAAACCUAAGGCUCAACCUUAGGAUGGGACAGAUACUGUUAAACUAGAAUACAGGUGGGGGUAAUGGAAUUCCAUGUGUAGCGGUGGAAUGCAUAAAUAUAUGGAGGAACACCAGUGGCGAAGGCGGUUGCCUGGACAGAUACUGACACUCAGAUGCGAAAGCGUGGGGAGCAAACAGG